GACCUUACCCCCAACCCUGUGCUCUCUGAAACAUGUGCUGUGUUGUCCACUCAGGAUUAAAUGGAUUAAGGGCGGUGCAAAAAAAAAAAAAAAAGAAAUUUAGCAUUUAAUUUUAAGCAGAAACUCUGCCCUCAAACCUUAUUAAUCAGACUAUGACAGGAGUAAAACACAAGAAUGGUGUUCAACAUUCUUGUGAAUGAUUCUUUCUUUUCUCAUCCAAGAUUGAUGAGAAAAACCUCCACCCAAGGUAUCAAAAGUUUAAUACUGAUUCUGUUCUCCUCUCUUUUGAAUACAUAAACUAGCUAGAUGACAAUAUCAUUCCACUUUUUACUAUUAUCUGUCAGCUGUCAAUUACAACAACAACCCCAAAAAAAUUAAAUCUUGACAGACAUCAUUGUUUCAGAUGCCUCUGGAAGAGAGAGGAGAGGGAAAAAAAAAUUGUUGGAAAGUUCUUUACAGCCCUGUGAGACUAAGUAAAAGAGACCUUAUCAUUAUUCAAAAGGUAGAGUUCUGGAGAAAACAAAGACCUAAAAUAAAUUAACCUAGACAGAAGAAAAAGACUUGGGUGAUUUAGUAGCAGUACUGCCCUCAGUGACUCAAUGUUUGCAAUAAGGAAUGGGUAGUAUCAGCUUUCCUGAUACAUAAAAUAUCACUUGUAUUAUUUCCUCUUCAAUGAGCAAAGAGAAGUAAUAACCUGGCAUCACAAAGAAAAAUAAAUUAUCCACAUAGUAACUUUCUGAUAAACUCUUGGCUGUCCAGCAGAAGGCCCAGCUGGGAAGAAAGUGCUGUGGACUACAGCUUGGCUCCAUCCCACGCCAGCCCUCUGACCCUGGGGCUGGAUCGUCUCUGGAUGAGGGGGUUGCUCAGAAUUAUCCCACUUGGGCUUUUUAUGGCAGUAUAUUCAUACCUUGGUAUACCACACACAGCAAUGGAAAAGAAACUACAGACUACACAGAACAUGGAUGAAUUUCACAGACAUCACAAUGAGCUGAAGAAGCCAGAUACAAAAAGAAAAAAAAAAAAGCACCGUAUGACUCCAUUUAUAUGGAUCUUAAAAACAGAAAAAAUGAAUCUAUGGGACUAAAGAUCAGAAUACUGGUUAUCCUUGGGAGUGUAGGGGGAGUGCUGAUUGGGAGAAAGCACAGCAGAGCUUUUCGGGUACUAAGGACUGAACUGUAUUCUCUCAGAAUUCCUGUGUUGAAGCCCUACCCCACAAUGUGAUGCUAUUUGGAGAUGGGGUCUUUGGGAAGUAAUUAGACUCAGAUGAGGUGACGUGGGUGGGGUCUUCAGGAUGGGAUAAGUGCCCUUAGACACACCAGAAAGCUUGCUUUCCUCCACCUACCUCUCCCCACACAUACACAUCAAAGAAAGGUCUUGACUACACACUGAGCAGCGAGGAAGAGGGCCCUCACCAGAACCCAACUAUGCUGGCAUCCUGAUCUCGGACUUCCAGCCUCCAAAACUGUGAGGAAAUAAAUUUCUGUUUAAGCCAGAACAACAGAUAUUUUGAUAUUUUAUUAUGGUGAUCUGAGCUGACCAAAGUACCAGAAAUGCUUUAUAUUUCAAUAUGGACAGUGGUCACAUAAGUGAAUAAAUGUGUAAAAAUUCCCUAAGCUGUAUACUUAAGGUUGACUCACAGUUUUUUAGAAGGAAUAGCAAGAAACAAAGCACUGACUUAGCAAGAAACAACCUAGCAUUACCAAGGUGAGAGUUGGGAGACUUUUCUACUUUUCAUUUGAUUCCCUUGUCAGGGCAAAUUCUUUUCCAUGAGUAUAUGUGAUCUUACAUAAUUUUUAAUAACUUGUUAAUUUUAAUAUUGCUCUAAAUUCCCUACUUCACAGUGUGUGUCUCACCACUGCCCUUGAAGACUCAAUGGCAAUGACUGUCAAAUCCACACCUGCCCCCGUGCACUCAAACUCCAACCGUGAGUUUCCAGGCACCACUGGUGCAUCUCCUCUCAAGCACAUAACUGUCACACCCACCAUGUCUCCAAAUGCAGUUAUCCACCCCCAACUCCUCCUCCGCCUCUGCCCCUGGCUUCUGUCUCCCAGGUUCUAACUCACCCUGUUCCUUUGCAUCUCUGUGUUACCUCAGAUUGUUUACUUACAGGUGUCCCUCCACUCUCAGACUCAGAAACCAAACACAUGUAGAUACAUUUUUCCAUAGCAAGCAGGCAGGUAUUCCUCAUUAUCCAAACUAUUGCUACUCUCUAACUAAAACUCAGGAAACGAAAUACUACAGACUCAGAUAACAUGAUAUUCCUCACUCUCCAAACUCUCAUUACCGAAACAGAUUAUUUAUUUAUUUAUUUUUGAGAUGGAAUCUCGCUUUGUUGCCCAGGCUGGAGUGCAAUAGCGUGAUCUCAGCUCACUGCAACCUCCACCUCCCGGUUUCAAGCAAUUCUCCUGCUGACUCAGUCUCCUGGGUAGCUGGGAUUACAGGCACGUGCCAUCACGCCA
Molecule: long non-coding RNA, 2459 nt
Filed under: Homo sapiens (human)
Lineage: Eukaryota; Metazoa; Chordata; Mammalia; Primates; Hominidae
Description: HSALNT0231752
Source: RNAcentral